UUCUAUAUUUUAUACUAAUUUAUUUUUAAGUGUUUUUAAUUUGUAGGUAAAGCUUAUGGGGAGACGAGGGAGUGGCCGGAUGAUCGGACGACCGUAGGGAGUAAUUCGUUUCUUUCCUUUUACAUUUAUGCAUUUAAUUUAAUUUAGCAUUUUGCAUAUAGAAAUAGAUUUAUUUUUACGUCCGUCCCGGGACAUGCAUGCAUUAAUUUUGUUUCUAUAUUUUAUACUAAUUUAUUUUUAAGUGUUUUUAAUUUGUAGGUAAAGCUUAUGGGGAGACGAGGGAGUGGCCGGAUGAUCGGACGACCGUAGGGAGUAAUUCGUCCCUUUCCUUUUAUAUUUAUGCAUUUAAUUUAAUUUAGCAUUUUGCAUAUAGAAAUAGAUUUAUUUUUACGUCCGUCCCGGGACAUGCAUGCAUUAAUUUUGUUUCUAUAUUUUAUACUAACUUAUUUUUAAGUGUUUUUAAUUUGUAGGUAAAGCUUAUGGGGAGACGAGGGAGUGGCCGGAUGAUCGGACGACCGUAGGGAGUAAUUCGUCCCUUUCCUUUUAUAUUUAUGCAUUUAAUUUAAUUUAGCAUUUUGCAUAUAGAAAUAGAUUUAUUUUUACGUCCGUCCCGGGACAUGCAUGCAUUAAUUUUGUUUCUAUAUUUUAUACUAACUUAUUUUUAAGUGUUUUUAAUUUGUAGGUAAAGCUUAUGGGGAGACGAGGGAGUGGCUGGAUGAUCGGACGACCGUAGGGAGUAAUUCGUCCAUUUCCUUUUACAUUUAUGCAUUUAAUUUAAUUUAGCAUUUUGCAUAUAGAAAUAGAUUUAUUUUUACGUCCGUCCCGGGACAUGCAUGCAUUAAUUUUGUUUCUAUAUUUUAUACUAACUUAUUUUUAAGUGUUUUUAAUUUGUAGGUAAAGCUUAUUGGGAGACGAGGGAGUGGCCGGAUGAUCGGACGACCGUAGGGAGUAAUUCGUCCCUUUCCUUUUACAUUUAUGCAUUUAAUUUAAUUUAGCAUUUUGCAUAUAGAAAUAGAUUUAUUUUUACGUCAGUCUCGGGACAUGCAUGCAUUAAUUUUGUUUCUAUAUUUUACACUAACUUAUUUUUAAGUGUUUUUAAUUUGUAGGUAAAGCUUAUGGGGAGACGAGGGAGUGGCCGGAUGAUCGGACGACCGUAGGGAGUAAUUCGUCCCUUUCCUUUUACAUUUAUGCAUUU
Molecule: long non-coding RNA, 1195 nt
Organism: Andrographis paniculata
Lineage: Eukaryota; Viridiplantae; Streptophyta; Magnoliopsida; Lamiales; Acanthaceae
Exons: 4
Source: RefSeq, a predicted model, not a curated record